CAACGACACUCCACUGUUUCAUCUCUGUGGUCCAGCAAACACAGGGCUCAAGUCUGGGGGACAUUGACGAUCGACUCACCAUGAGAGGCUUGUAUCUGCUGUGUCUGGGUCUGUUAGCCCCAGUGAUCGAAAUGACCUCGAUGAAAGAUUGCGGAC
Molecule: long non-coding RNA, 156 nt
Organism: Electrophorus electricus (electric eel)
Lineage: Eukaryota; Metazoa; Chordata; Actinopteri; Gymnotiformes; Gymnotidae
Source: RefSeq, a predicted model, not a curated record